This 465-nucleotide ribosomal RNA is filed under the name Vreelandella stevensii. RNAcentral describes it as "partial 16S ribosomal RNA". It matches the Rfam family "Bacterial small subunit ribosomal RNA", at positions 338 to 795 of the family's 1533-position model. Lineage: Bacteria; Pseudomonadati; Pseudomonadota; Gammaproteobacteria; Oceanospirillales; Halomonadaceae. The record is from RNAcentral.
CCUACGGGUGGCAGCAGUGGGGAAUAUUGGACAAUGGGCGAAAGCCUGAUCCAGCCAUGCCGCGUGUGUGAAGAAGGCCUUCGGGUUGUAAAGCACUUUCAGUGGGGAAGAAAGCCUUGGGGCUAAUACCCUCGAGGAAGGACAUCACCCACAGAAGAAGCACCGGCUAACUCCGUGCCAGCAGCCGCGGUAAUACGGAGGGUGCGAGCGUUAAUCGGAAUUACUGGGCGUAAAGCGCGCGUAGGCGGUCUGAUAAGCCGGUUGUGAAAGCCCCGGGCUCAACCUGGGAACGGCAUCCGGAACUGUCAGGCUAGGGUGCAGGAGAGGAAGGUAGAAUUCCCGGUGUAGCGGUGAAAUGCGUAGAGAUCGGGAGGAAUACCAGUGGCGAAGGCGGCCUUCUGGACUGACACUGACGCUGAGGUGCGAAAGCGUGGGUAGCAAACAGGAUUAGAUACCCUUGUAGUC